AACCAUUCUCACCUGCGGCUAGACCUGCGGAGGGAUCAUUAACCUUUCAAUCAGGGUGCGGCGCGGCCCCCGAGGAGCGGAAACAAUCCUUGGGAGGUAUGCGGGGGCUUCGAGCCCCCCAUUUACGCACGCACGACUGCCAUCCUUACUUUACGAGCACCUUCUGUUCUCCCUCGGCGGGGCAACCUGCCGUUGGAACCGAAUAAACUCUUUUUGCAUCUAGCAUUACCUGUUCCGAAA
Molecule: unclassified non-coding RNA, 240 nt
Filed under: soil metagenome
Description: partial contains 5.8S ribosomal RNA, internal transcribed spacer 2, and large subunit ribosomal RNA
Source: RNAcentral